This 403-nucleotide unclassified non-coding RNA is filed under the name fungal sp. RNAcentral describes it as "partial internal transcribed spacer region". The stretch from base 1 to 46 matches the Rfam family "Eukaryotic small subunit ribosomal RNA", at positions 1786 to 1831 of the family's 1831-position model. Lineage: Eukaryota; Fungi. The record is from RNAcentral.
AAGUCGUAACAAGGUAACCGUAGGUGAACCUGCGGUUGGAUCAUUAAAGUAUGGCCCGCGAGUGUUAACGUUGCGGUGGCACUGUCCGGAUCGAGGAACGCCCAGGCUUUCAUAGGUGGGUCAACUUGACUGGCAGAUACCACAGAGACACCUUUGUGAAUUUUUUGAACGUCUUUUGGCGGCGCUUGGGGUUCGUGGGGUUAUUCUUCACAUUCCCUGUGGACGCCUCGAACUGGCUUUGGCCAGGAGAUGGUCAAGCUCCGAGUUGAGAGAGAAGUUCCUUUUCUUUCCUCGGAGCGGUCCGCGCCGCCAGUCACUUGCAACAACAUGCCGUGUGAAUCUUCUGUCUUAUGAUAUAUCUUCGAUAUAGAAACAACUUUAGACAAUGGAUCUCUUGGUUCUC